This 478-nucleotide ribosomal RNA is filed under the name uncultured bacterium. Its description in RNAcentral is "bacterial SSU rRNA". It matches the Rfam family "Bacterial small subunit ribosomal RNA", at positions 28 to 501 of the family's 1533-position model. The record is from RNAcentral.
GAUGAACGCUAGCGGCAGGCUUAACACAUGCAAGUCGAGGGGCAGCGUGGAGCAGCAAUGCUCUGACGGCGACCGGCGGAAGGGUGCGUAACACGUGAGCGACUUGCGCGUCACAGGGGGAUAACCGGCGGAAACGGCGACUAAUACCCCAUACGAUGUGAUGCUGCAUGGCAUUGCAUUGAAAGAUUCAUCGGUGGCGGAUAGGCUCGCGGGACAUUAGCUAGACGGCGGGGCAACGGCCCACCGUGGCGACGAUGUCUAGGGGUUCUGAGAGGAAGGCCCCCCCACACUGGGACUGAGACACGGCCCAGACUCCUACGGGAGGCAGCAGUGAGGAAUAUUGGUCAAUGGGCGGAAGCCUGAACCAGCCAUGCCGCGUGAAGGCUAAGGCCCUACGGGUCGUAAACUUCUUUAGACGCAGAGCAAUAAGGUCCACGCGUGACCGAUGAGAGUAUGCGUAGAAUAAGCAUCGGCUAAC